UCAUACAGAUCCUGGUCUACAUUUUGAACUU
This 31-nucleotide non-coding RNA is filed under the name Homo sapiens (human). Lineage: Eukaryota; Metazoa; Chordata; Mammalia; Primates; Hominidae. The record is from RNAcentral.